This 252-nucleotide ribosomal RNA is filed under the name uncultured bacterium. RNAcentral's name for it is "partial 16S ribosomal RNA". It matches the Rfam family "Bacterial small subunit ribosomal RNA", at positions 524 to 776 of the family's 1533-position model. The record is from RNAcentral.
UACAUAGGGGGCAAGCGUUGUCCGGAAUUAUUGGGCGUAAAGCGCGCGCAGGCGGUUCAUUAAGUCUGGUGUUUAAGGCUGUGGCUCAACCACAGUUCGCACUGGAAACUGGUGAACUUGAGUGUAGGAGAGGAAAGUGGAAUUCCACGUGUAGCGGUGAAAUGCGUAGAGAUGUGGAGGAACACCAGUGGCGAAGGCGACUUUCUGGCCUAUGACUGACGCUGAGGCGCGAAAGCGUGGGUAGCAAACAGG